GAUGGAGGAAAACGUGAUGGCAGUGGCACGGUCCGUCUUAUUUGAAAAAUUUUGAAAAAAAUUAAAAACAAAAGUCACGAGUAAAUUACUAUUCAUAUUUUAUCAUCUCAUAACAACAAAAAUACUAAUUAUAAAAAAUUUACAAAUAAGACGGACGAUCAAAGUUAGGCGUGGAAACUCAUGGUUGCACUUAUA
Molecule: microRNA precursor, 195 nt
Organism: Oryza sativa Japonica Group (Japanese rice)
Lineage: Eukaryota; Viridiplantae; Streptophyta; Magnoliopsida; Poales; Poaceae
Rfam family: MIR812 microRNA precursor family
Source: Rfam